RNAcentral lists this long non-coding RNA (2114 nucleotides) under Homo sapiens (human). RNAcentral's name for it is "HSALNT0334370". Lineage: Eukaryota; Metazoa; Chordata; Mammalia; Primates; Hominidae. The record is from RNAcentral.
GCAGAGCCCAGGCGCGUGGGUCGGUGUCGGGUGUGUGUGUACGUCUGUGUGUGUAAUGAAACUGGACGCCUUCCUUCCCGGCGAUCUUGACUUAACCUGUCAGCAGAGGGCUUGAGGUUAGACCACAGGUUGAACCUAGGUGGCUGCUGGAGAGAAACACUCUGUCUUCCUGCUUUGAGGACAGCUGAAGUCUUGCCACUUCUUCUGGAUGCUCUGACCAUCAGUAAGAGACACGGUCUGACUUUGUUACCCCGGCUGGAGUGCAGUGGUGCAAUCAUGGCUCACUGCAGCCUUAACCUCCUGGGCUCAAGUGAUCCUCUCGCCAAGGCUAGGAUAAGUAGCUAGGACUACAGAUGCGCCCCAUCACGCCCAGCUAAUUUUACAACUUCUGUAGAGAUGGAGUGUUGCUGGGUUGCCCAGGCUGGUCUUGAAUUCCUGGGCUCAAGCGAUCCUCCUGUGUCCGGAAUUGGUGGGUUCUUGGUCUCACUGACUUCAAGAAUGAAGCCGCGGACCCUCGCGAGUCUGUAUCCACCAGCUACUCUUCCAGAUUCAUGAGGCAAGGCCUGCCUGCUCACCUGGCUGGCCCCAAGCACCUCUUCAACCUGUUGCCACCGUCCUGCCUUGCUGCCCUUCUCAGCUCAUCCAGCAGGGUCUCCAAGUCGUGGAAACAGAAGCACAUAUACACACAUGCUCAUAUGUACAUGCCCACAGUCACAUAAGCACACCGAGAAACACCAUCGCAGACAUGUUCUCACAAGCACAUGUGCAUAACACUCACUACCCCUCACGCGUAUACACAUUAAUACACACACUCAUGCACACUCAGUCUUACACACACAGACACACAGCCAUAAUCACUGUUGUUGGUUGAAUUGUGCCCCCCCAUCCCCACCAAAAAGAUAAGUUGGAGUCCUAACCCCCAGUACCUGGGGAUGUGACCGUAGUUGGAAAUAGGGUGUUUGUAGAUGUAAUCAAAUUAAGAUGAGAUCUUACUGGAUUAGAGUGGGCCUUAAAUCCAGUGACUGGUGUCCUUAUAAGGAGAAAAAGAUUUGAAAACAGAGACAUGGAGACACAGAGCAGAAGGCCAUGUGAUGAUGGAGUCAGAGAUUGGAGUGAUGCAGCUAUGAGCCGAGAAAUACCAAGGUGCUGGCAGCCCCCAGAAGCAAGGAGAGAGGCAAGGAACAAUCUCCAUCAGAGCCUCUGGAAGAAACAGACUCUGCCAACACCUUGAUUUCAGACUUUUGGCCUCCUUCACUGUGCGAGAAUACGUUUCUGUUGUUUUAAACUACUGAGUCACCAAGUCUGUGGUACUGUGUUAUGGCAGCCCCGGCAACAAAUCCAAUCACACACACACACACACACACACACACACACACACACACACACACACACACAGCUGGCUCCAGGCUCAGUGAUGAGCUCAGAGGAGUUCCCCUUGGGAGCUGCUCUUUCUCUGUCUUCCUUCCUUAGUGAUUGGUCCAGUGGAUCCACAAAAGCUCAUGGCCCAGAGCAGGAGCCCAGUCAUUUUUAAUUCCUCUUCCCUGGAGUUCUUAACCAUGCGUUGCCCUCAAAAUCUGCUCUCAAGAUUUGGGUUGCCAUAUUUAGGAGCACCAGAAAACAUACAGGAAUGCUGUGUCUGCUUGCAUCAUAUUAAUUAAAAACUGGAAAUAACCUAAAUGUCCCAGAAUAGGUACAUAAACUGUGGCAUAUCCACUUAAUGGAAUACUACUCAGCAAUACAAAAGGAAAACCUAGUGUUACUUGAGCAACAUGGAUGAACUUCACAGACAUAAUAUUGCACAGCACGAGGCAGACACAAAAGUGUGCAUAUGCUAUGAUUCCAUUUACAUGAGAUUCAAGAACAGGCAAAGCAGAUCUAUGGGGAUAGAAGUCAGAAUAGUGGUUACCUCUGGAAGGUGGAAUUGACUGGGAGGGGCUUCAGGGAACCUCCUGGGGUGCUGAAAACAUUCUGUGCUUGCACCGGGUGGUGGUUAUGUGGGCAUUACAUAAAAUUCACCAAGCUGCACCCUUAAUGAUUUGUACAAUUUGAUGCACAAAUCUAACAUCUCAAGAAGAAUAAAUUUUACAAAGUACCUAAGAAGCAAAUGACCAGAA